GAUAACUUAACUUUAAUUUUCAGAAGUAAACGGACAAGAAGAAUUAAGAAAACUACAUCUUAAGCCAAAUCAGGCAGAAGAAUCUAUUCAUGCAUAAUACAGGUACAAAACUUCCUUCUACUAUAUCAUAUCCUUGUCUAGGCAACUCUAAAUUAAUGUUCAGAUAUCUGUAAAUAAACCAUCUGAGUGUAUCCAUUAAAUACAGAUUUGUCAAGGUUGGCCAAACCUAGCCUUUGGAACAAGCCAUACCGACCAUCUUCAACAAUAGGAGUGGGUGCACGAGCAGGAUCAUACCUGGUCUGAUGGGUGAGGGAAGGACCAGCAACCGGAGGUAGUUCCCAGUAAACAUCAAGA
RNAcentral lists this long non-coding RNA (354 nucleotides) under Phaseolus vulgaris (common bean). Its description in RNAcentral is "long non-coding RNA (PVUL_LNC003209)". The record is from RNAcentral. Lineage: Eukaryota; Viridiplantae; Streptophyta; Magnoliopsida; Fabales; Fabaceae.